ACGGAUACAAUUCCCGGACCACGCGUGGCUGAGGGUUG
This 38-nucleotide ribosomal RNA is filed under the name Chrysis brevitarsis. RNAcentral's name for it is "partial 5.8S ribosomal RNA". The record is from RNAcentral. Lineage: Eukaryota; Metazoa; Arthropoda; Insecta; Hymenoptera; Chrysididae.